AGCCCAGAAGAGAACCGAAGAUCUAUUUCUCUUAGGAAAGCCGAUAGUGAGCACUAAGCUAAGCUGAGAAUCUUGGGUUCACAUCCUAAGCACUGUCUACUGCAAAACAGAGGAAACCAUUCUUGAAAAGUAUGAAGCUGAACGACAGUUAAAUUUCAUAGACAUCCCACAGUGUGUUGCAAUUUUAUGAAGAAUGGAGAUCUAGCACUGAGAACAGCAUUAAGUCAUCAAACAUAUGUAUAAAACAACAGCAAGGGAGAUCCCAAAAUCAUCACAGAACAAAAAAGGAGUUCUAUGUGAUGUCCAAAUGGCCUCAAUCAGAGGAAGGGCUGAUUGACACAGGUAUUUUGUGGAUCAGGAGAAAGAGAAUGCUUUCACAGCCUGUAGAGUGUUAUGAACUGUUGCAUGCCCACUCUGAACAGAAAAUGUAAAGCAAGGUGCAGGAAAUAACAUUUAACUUGUAAAAUAUUUUGACCACAGUUCCACCAGAAUUUGUCAUCUCUAAGUCUCUGAAUGUGUGGUGAAUAAAUCACCUCGACAGAUUGGAAAGUGUUUUAAAGAAUGUUACCAGUGUUAAAGUUUGUGUGUUAAGAAAUAAUCAGAGUAAGUAGCAUGGAAAAUCCAAAGAAACUUUCAUUUAAGCAAUUGAGAUGAGACAUGGCAAAUGUUUGUCAGAGAAAUAUUUGUCCUUUUUAUAUAUUAUCACAAAACCAUAGAAUGGUUUGGGUUGGAAAGGACCUUAAGAUCAUCUAGUUGCACCAGGGCUGCAUCAAGUUGCCAGGGCUGCUCACACUAGACCAUGUUGCCAAAGGCUCUGUCCAACCUGGCCUUCCACAGUCAAUUCUACAGACAUUUGUUUCCCAGUCCUUUGACUGAUAGAUCAUUUAAGAAACACACUUUUAACAAUAAUGUUUUCAAUUAGGACUCAAAUUAGGUUAUCCCAGGGUAUCCUUCCUUUGAUUCCUUCAUGUAAUUAAAAAUAGACCUAACUUUAAUCUCUUUGACUGGAAAUAAACAAUGUGUCAGUUAUAAUUUGAAAUGCUAGAGUGAUUUGAACCAUGACCGGGGAAGGAAAAUCCACAUUCUUCUACAAAGAUUCCAGAUACCAUGAGUAAACCAGAGUCUCAGUCUAUGGGAAAUCUAUGGUACAAUGCUGAACCCAUGACAAAUGCGCAACAAAAUUAAUUGAAU
Molecule: long non-coding RNA, 1191 nt
Organism: Melopsittacus undulatus (budgerigar)
Lineage: Eukaryota; Metazoa; Chordata; Aves; Psittaciformes; Psittaculidae
Exons: 3
Source: RefSeq, a predicted model, not a curated record